Molecule: ribosomal RNA, 460 nt
Filed under: uncultured bacterium
Lineage: Bacteria
Description: partial 16S ribosomal RNA
Rfam family: Bacterial small subunit ribosomal RNA
Source: RNAcentral
CCUACGGGUGGAAGCAGUGAGGAAUAUUGGUCAAUGGACGAGAGUCUGAACCAGCCAAGUAGCGUGAAGGAUGACUGCCCUAUGGGUUGUAAACUUCUUUUAUAUGGGAAUAAAAUGUUCCACGUGUGGGAUUUUGUAUGUACCAUAUGAAUAAGGAUCGGCUAACUCCGUGCCAGCAGCCGCGGUAAUACGGAGGAUCCGAGCGUUAUCCGGAUUUAUUGGGUUUAAAGGGAGCGUAGGUGGAUUGUUAAGUCAGUUGUGAAAGUUUGCGGCUCAACCGUAAAAUUGCAGUUGAAACUGGCAGUCUUGAGUACAGUAGAGGUGGGCGGAAUUCGUGGUGUAGCGGUGAAAUGCUUAGAUAUCACGAAGAACUCCGAUUGCGAAGGCAGUUCACUGGACUGCAACUGACACUGAGGCUCGAAAGUGUGGGUAUCAAACAGGAUUAGAUACCCUUGUAGUC